Molecule: ribosomal RNA, 684 nt
Filed under: uncultured bacterium
Lineage: Bacteria
Description: bacterial SSU rRNA
Rfam family: Bacterial small subunit ribosomal RNA
Source: RNAcentral
GAGCUUGAUCCUGGCUCAGGAUGAACGCUGGCGGCGUGCCUAACACAUGCAAGUCGAACGGGGAUAUAUUGGAAUGAGGAUUCGUCUGAAGGAAAAUGUAUCUUAGUGGCGGACGGGUGAGUAACGCGUGGGCAACCUACCGUAUACAGGGGGAUAACACUUAGAAAUAGGUGCUAAUACCGCAUAAGCGCACAGCAGUGCAUACUGGAGUGUGAAAAGCCGAGACGGUAUACGAUGGGCCCGCGUCUGAUUAGCCAGUUGGCAGGGUAACGGCCUACCAAAGCGACGAUCAGUAGCCGGCCUGAGAGGGCGGACGGCCACAUUGGGACUGAGACACGGCCCAGACUCCUACGGGAGGCAGCAGUGGGGGAUAUUGCACAAUGGGGGGAACCCUGAUGCAGCGACGCCGCGUGAGUGAAGAAGUAAUUCGUUAUGUAAAGCUCUAUCAGCAGGGAAGAAUAAAUGACGGUACCUGAGUAAGAAGCCCCGGCUAACUACGUGCCAGCAGCCGCGGUAAUACGUAGGGGGCAAGCGUUAUCCGGAUUUACUGGGUGUAAAGGGAGCGUAGACGGCGAUGCAAGCCAGAUGUGAAAGCCCGCGGCUCAACUGCGGUAGUGCAUUUGGAACUGUAUGGCUGGAGUGCAGGAGAGGCAGGCGGAAUUCCUAGUGUAGCGGUGAAAUGCG